This 117-nucleotide non-coding RNA is filed under the name Gorilla gorilla gorilla (western lowland gorilla). Lineage: Eukaryota; Metazoa; Chordata; Mammalia; Primates; Hominidae. The record is from Rfam by way of RNAcentral.
GCCGGGCAUGGUGGCUCAUGCCUGUAAUCCUAGCAGUUUGGGAGGCUGAGGUGGGCGGAUCACCUGAGGUCAGGAGUUCGAGACCAGCCUGACCAACAUGGAGAAACCCCAUCUCUA